Molecule: transfer RNA, 73 nt
Filed under: Deltaproteobacteria bacterium
Lineage: Bacteria; Pseudomonadati; Myxococcota; Myxococcia
Description: tRNA-Arg
Rfam family: tRNA
About the family: Transfer RNA (tRNA) molecules are approximately 80 nucleotides in length. Their secondary structure includes four short double-helical elements and three loops (D, anti-codon, and T loops).
Source: RNAcentral
GCUCCCGUAGUUUAAUUGGAUAAAACGGAGGAUUCCGAUUCCUUUGUUCCAGGUUCGAGUCCUGGCGGGAGCA